Molecule: ribosomal RNA, 463 nt
Filed under: uncultured bacterium
Lineage: Bacteria
Description: partial 16S ribosomal RNA
Rfam family: Bacterial small subunit ribosomal RNA
Source: RNAcentral
CUACGGCCGCUCCAGUGGGGAAUAUUGCACAAUGGGCGCAAGCCUGAUGCAGCCAUGCCGCGUGUAUGAAGAAGGCCUUCGGGUUGUAAAGUGCUUUCAGCGGGGAGGAAGGGAGUAAAGUUAAUACCUUUGCUCAUUGACGUUACCCGCAGAAGAAGCACCGGCUAACUCCGUGCCAGCAGCCGCGGUAAUACGGAGGGUGCAAGCGUUAAUCGGAAUUACUGGGCGUAAAGCGCACGCAGGCGGUUUGUUAAGUCAGAUGUGAAAUCCCCGGGCUCAACCUGGGAACUGCAUCUGAUACUGGCAAGCUUGAGUCUCGUAGAGGGGGGUAGAAUUCCAGGUGUAGCGGUGAAAUGCGUAGAGAUCUGGAGGAAUACCGGUGGCGAAGGCGGCCCCCUGGACGAAGACUGACGCUCAGGUGCGAAAGCGUGGGGAGCAAACAGGAUUAGAUACCCCAGUAGUC